GACGAACGCUGGCGGCGUGCUUAACACAUGCAAGUCGAACGGAAAGGCCCUGCUUUUGUGGGGUGCUCGAGUGGCGAACGGGUGAGUAACACGUGAGUAACCUGCCCUUGACUUUGGGAUAACUUCAGGAAACUGGGGCUAAUACCGGAUAGGAGCUCCUGCUGCAUGGUGGGGGUUGGAAAGUUUCGGCGGUUGGGGAUGGACUCGCGGCUUAUCAGCUUGUUGGUGGGGUAGUGGCUUACCAAGGCUUUGACGGGUAGCCGGCCUGAGAGGGUGACCGGCCACAUUGGGACUGAGAUACGGCCCAGACUCCUACGGGAGGCAGCAGUGGGGAAUAUUGCACAAUGGGCGGAAGCCUGAUGCAGCAACGCCGCGUGCGGGAUGACGGCCUUCGGGUUGUAAACCGCUUUCGCCUGUGACGAAGCGUGAGUGACGGUAAUGGGUAAAGAAGCACCGGCUAACUACGUGCCAGCAGCCGCGGUGAUACGUAGGGUGCGAGCGUUGUCCGGAUUUAUUGGGCGUAAAGGGCUCGUAGGUGGUUGAUCGCGUCGGAAGUGUAAUCUUGGGGCUUAACCCUGAGCGUGCUUUCGAUACGGGUUGACUUGAGGAAGGUAGGGGAGAAUGGAAUUCCUGGUGGAGCGGUGGAAUGCGCAGAUAUCAGGAGGAACACCAGUGGCGAAGGCGGUUCUCUGGGCCUUUCCUGACGCUGAGGAGCGAAAGCGUGGGGAGCGAACAGGCUUAGAUACUCUGGUAGUCCACGCUGUAAACGGUGGGUACUAGGUGUGGGGUCCAUUCCACGGGUUCCGUGCCGUAGCUAACGCUUUAAGUACCCCGCCUGGGGAGUACGGCCGCAAGGCUAAAACUCAAAGGAAUUGACGGGGCCCCGCACAAGCGGCGGAGCAUGCGGAUUAAUUCGAUGCAACGCGUAGAACCUUACCUGGGUUUGACAUGGAUCGGGAGUGCUCAGAGAUGGGUGUGCCUCUUUUGGGGUCGGUUCACAGGUGGUGCAUGGCUGUCGUCAGCUCGUGUCGUGAGAUGUUGGGUUAAGUCCCGCAACGAGCGCAACCCUUGUUCACUGUUGCCAGCACGUUAUGGUGGGGACUCAGUGGAGACCGCCGGGGUCAACUCGGAGGAAGGUGGGGAUGACGUCAAGUCAUCAUGCCCCUUAUGUCCAGGGCUUCACGCAUGCUACAAUGGCUGGUACAGAGAGUGGCGAGCCUGUGAGGGUGAGCGAAUCUCGGAAAGCCGGUCUCAGUUCGGAUUGGGGUCUGCAACUCGACCUCAUGAAGUCGGAGUCGCUAGUAAUCGCAGAUCAGCAACGCUGCGGUGAAUACGUUCCCGGG
RNAcentral lists this ribosomal RNA (1343 nucleotides) under uncultured bacterium. Its description in RNAcentral is "16S ribosomal RNA". It matches the Rfam family "Bacterial small subunit ribosomal RNA", at positions 28 to 1378 of the family's 1533-position model. The record is from RNAcentral.